This 253-nucleotide ribosomal RNA is filed under the name uncultured bacterium. RNAcentral describes it as "partial 16S ribosomal RNA". It matches the Rfam family "Bacterial small subunit ribosomal RNA", at positions 524 to 776 of the family's 1533-position model. The record is from RNAcentral.
UACGUAGGGUGCAAGCGUUGUCCGGAAUUAUUGGGCGUAAAGAGCUCGUAGGCGGUUCGUCGCGUCGGCUGUGAAAACCUGAGGCUCAACCUCGGGUCUGCAGUCGAUACGGGCAAACUAGAGUAUUGCAGGGGAGACUGGAAUUCCUGGUGUAGCGGUGAAAUGCGCAGAUAUCAGGAGGAACACCGGUGGCGAAGGCGGGUCUCUGGGCAAUAACUGACGCUGAGGCGCGAAAGCGUGGGGAGCAAACAGG